RNAcentral lists this ribosomal RNA (465 nucleotides) under uncultured bacterium. RNAcentral describes it as "partial 16S ribosomal RNA". It matches the Rfam family "Bacterial small subunit ribosomal RNA", at positions 338 to 795 of the family's 1533-position model. The record is from RNAcentral.
CCUACGGGUGGCUGCAGUGGGGAAUAUUGCGCAAUGGGCGAAAGCCUGAUGCAGCGACGCCGCGUGAGUGAUGAAGGUCUUCGGAUCGUAAAGCACUGUCAGCAGGGAGGAAGGGUAAAUGUGCUAAUAAGCAGUCAAUUGACGGUACCUGCAGAAGAAGCACCGGCUAACUCCGUGCCAGCAGCCGCGGUAAUACGGAGGGUGCGAGCGUUAAUCGGAAUUACUGGGCGUAAAGCGCACGUAGGCGGUAUGUCAAGUCAAGGGUGAAAUCCCCGGGCUCAACGUGGGAACUGCCUUUGAAACUGGCAGACUGGAGUGUGUGAGAGGAUAGUGGAAUUCCAGGUGUAGGAGUGAAAUCCGUAGAGAUCUGGAGGAAUAUCAGUGGCGAAGGCGACCACCUGGCACAUAACUGACGCUGAGGUGCGAAAGCGUGGGUAGCAAACAGGAUUAGAUACCCCUGUAGUC